Molecule: long non-coding RNA, 444 nt
Organism: Amphimedon queenslandica
Lineage: Eukaryota; Metazoa; Porifera; Demospongiae; Haplosclerida; Niphatidae
Exons: 3
Source: RefSeq, a predicted model, not a curated record
GAAGUCUCCCUUCAUCAAAAGAAGGAAGAUUGAUGAUAGUGGAUCUCCAUUUACUACUAGUACUGUAGAGUCCAUUGCAGUUUAUGUUGAAGCUAGCACUAUAAAGCUCUUCACUGUAUUUAAAGAUUGGAUCGAAACAAAAUACUUUGUCAAUAGCAAUAGCGGUCAUGUUUAUGGAUUGGUAAAGACUAUCCUUCGUUAAUCAGUUGACUACACCGGAUGGCCAUCAGUUAUUACUUGCACCAAUUGCAAGAAUGGUGAGGCCAUGAGAGCGAUUCUCGAGGAUGUACAGUGGUCUCAAGUCUUUUCAGGGGAGAUUGUUGGAGAUAUUCAUGAUAUUCAGUCAAAGGAAAUUUUUGCAAAGGCUAGGUAUGCUAUGACAAAUGGCUUUAGAGAUGAUGCUGUUAAAACUUUUAUACUCUAUCUGGUGGACUGCAUAUUGAG